UACGUAGGUGGCAAGCGUUGUCCGGAUUUACUGGGUGUAAAGGGCGUGUAGGCGGGUUUGCAAGUCAGAUGUGAAAUUCCGGGGCUCAACCCCGGCGCUGCAUCUGAAACUGUGAAUCUUGAGUGCUGGAGAGGAAAGCGGAAUUCCUAGUGUAGCGGUGAAAUGCGUAGAUAUUAGGAGGAACACCAGUGGCGAAGGCGGCUUUCUGGACAGUAACUGACGCUGAGGCGCGAAAGCGUGGGGAGCAAACAGG
This 253-nucleotide ribosomal RNA is filed under the name uncultured bacterium. RNAcentral's name for it is "partial 16S ribosomal RNA". It matches the Rfam family "Bacterial small subunit ribosomal RNA", at positions 524 to 776 of the family's 1533-position model. The record is from RNAcentral.